RNAcentral lists this non-coding RNA (270 nucleotides) under Thalassolituus sp. HI0120. RNAcentral describes it as "partial 16S ribosomal RNA". It matches the Rfam family "Bacterial small subunit ribosomal RNA", at positions 191 to 449 of the family's 1533-position model. The record is from RNAcentral. Lineage: Bacteria; Pseudomonadati; Pseudomonadota; Gammaproteobacteria; Oceanospirillales; Oceanospirillaceae.
GCCCUACGGGGGAAAGCAGGGGAUCUUCGGACCUUGCGCUAUUAGAUGAGCCUGCGUGAGAUUAGCUGGUUGGUGGGGUAAUGGCCUACCAAGGCGACGAUCUCUAGCUGGUCUGAGAGGAUGAUCAGCCACACUGGGACUGAGACACGGCCCAGACUCCUACGGGAGGCAGCAGUGGGGAAUAUUGCACAAUGGGCGGAAGCCUGAUGCAGCCAUGCCGCGUGUGUGAAGAAGGCUCUAGGGUUGUAAAGCACUNUCAGAAGGGAGGAA